CACGGCACGUGCAUGUGUGUGCAUCUGUGCUCCUGGUGUGGCCUUGGGCUCAGCCCUUCUGUCUCUGGUCCUGAACUGUCCCCUCUAAGAUCCACGGAGCCCGCCCCGGCUGACACCUCGGCUUGUGAGGAACCCUGAGACCGAAGACCCAGCUAAUCCUGGAUUCCUGACCCGAGACACUGGCCCAGGAGCUGGGAGCUGGGGUUCCCUCCGAGGCCCAGACAGGAAGCUGCGCCUCGGGUCGCUCUGAAAU
Molecule: long non-coding RNA, 253 nt
Organism: Prionailurus viverrinus (fishing cat)
Lineage: Eukaryota; Metazoa; Chordata; Mammalia; Carnivora; Felidae
Exons: 2
Source: RefSeq, a predicted model, not a curated record